RNAcentral lists this ribosomal RNA (468 nucleotides) under uncultured bacterium. RNAcentral's name for it is "partial 16S ribosomal RNA". It matches the Rfam family "Bacterial small subunit ribosomal RNA", at positions 28 to 507 of the family's 1533-position model. The record is from RNAcentral.
GACGAACGCUGGCGGCGUGCUUAACACAUGCAAGUCGAACGGAAAGGCCCUGCUUUUGUGGGGUGCUCGAGUGGCGAACGGGUGAGUAACACGUGAGUAACCUGCCCUUGACUUUGGGAUAACUUCAGGAAACUGGGGCUAAUACCGGAUAGGAGCUCCUGCUGCAUGGUGGGGGUUGGAAAGUUUCGGCGGUGGGGGAUGGACUCGCGGCUUAUCAGCUUGUUGGUGGGGUAGUGGCUUACGAAGGCUUUGACGGGUAGCCGGCCUGAGAGGGUGACCGGCCACAUUGGGACUGAGAGAGGGCCCAGACUCCUACGGGAGGCAGCAGGGGGGAAUAUUGCACAAUGGGCGGAAGCCUGAGGCAGCAACGCCGGGUGCGGGAUGACGGCCUUCGGGUUGUAAACCGCUUUCGCCUGUGACGAAGCGUGAGUGACGGUAAUGGGUAAAGAAGCACCGGCUAACUACGUG